RNAcentral lists this ribosomal RNA (373 nucleotides) under Clostridioides difficile. Its description in RNAcentral is "bacterial SSU rRNA". It matches the Rfam family "Bacterial small subunit ribosomal RNA", at positions 183 to 575 of the family's 1533-position model. Lineage: Bacteria; Bacillati; Bacillota; Clostridia; Peptostreptococcales; Peptostreptococcaceae. The record is from RNAcentral.
GAGAGGCAUCUCUUAAAUAUCAAAGGUGAGCCAGUACAGGAUGGACCCGCGUCUGAUUAGUUAGUUGGUAAGGUAACGGCUUACCAAGGCGACGAUCAGUAGCCGACCUGAGAGGGUGAUCGGCCACAUUGGAACUGAGACACGGUCCAAACUCCUACGGGAGGCAGCAGUGGGGAAUAUUGCACAAUGGGCGAAAGCCUGAUGCAGCAACGCCGCGUGAGUGAUGAAGGCCUUCGGGUCGUAAAGCUCUGUCCUCAAGGAAGAUAAUGACGGUACUUGAGGAGGAAGCCCCGGCUAACUACGUGCCAGCAGCCGCGGUAAUACGUAGGGGGCUAGCGUUAUCCGGAUUUACUGGGCGGAAAGGGUGCGUAGG